Molecule: long non-coding RNA, 94 nt
Organism: Rhodamnia argentea
Lineage: Eukaryota; Viridiplantae; Streptophyta; Magnoliopsida; Myrtales; Myrtaceae
Exons: 3
Source: RefSeq, a predicted model, not a curated record
AUGGAUUCAUUGUAAAAUCCCUAUCAUGAUAUAAUACAUUUUUAUUACAAUUUUUUUUUUGCCGAUAAAGGGAUCAAUUGAUACAAUUCUUUUG